Molecule: long non-coding RNA, 546 nt
Filed under: Pan troglodytes (chimpanzee)
Lineage: Eukaryota; Metazoa; Chordata; Mammalia; Primates; Hominidae
Description: lncRNA (ENSPTRG00000054587.1)
Source: RNAcentral
AUAAGGGGAGCAGGGAGGAGGAAAAACAGAGCAGACAGGAGGAUCAUCAUCAGCAAGCAGUCACGUGGGCCAAAACGUGCUGUGGGCAGAGGUGGCAGCAAUCAAGAUGCCAGGCUUUCUGUACAGGAUGCCCGGGAGGGGAUUCUGGGGAGACGCCAUUCAGAGUGGACACUGGGUCUGUGCGACUGUUUGCAGCUCAGGAUGUUUGCCAUCACAACGGCAGAGCCGCAGUUCACACCCAGGCACAUUCUCCCCAAGACCUGUGGCUGCAACCACUGCUAUGCAUGGAAUGUGAGACGGAUGGUGCUCGCCUAGCCAACAGUUGACGCUGAAUACAUCUUCAUCUAUGUAUUGACCAUCUACCCUUUUCCCAUGUUUUGUUUGUCAAAAUUCUUUGCUAAUUUCCUUAUUAAAAAUGGUCAGUAUUUUAAUUCUCCUGAUUCAUGAUAAUUUCUUUGACAAAGAAAUUAAUACUUUGUUAAAUGAGUACAAAUAUUUUUAAACAAUCUGUUUUACUUUUAAUCUUUGUUUAUGGUGAUAUUUUGG